AAGAUCAUACUUCACAGGAUCAUUUCUGUAGUAUAUCUUCACAUACUCUCUUCUCACAAGAUGAGUUUUCGCAACCAUGAGGAUGAGACACAGU
This is a non-coding RNA of Dendroctonus ponderosae (mountain pine beetle), 94 nucleotides long. The record is from Rfam. NCBI's taxonomy places the organism in Eukaryota, Metazoa, Arthropoda, Insecta, Coleoptera, Curculionidae.